RNAcentral lists this ribosomal RNA (511 nucleotides) under Brachygastra mouleae. Its description in RNAcentral is "partial 12S ribosomal RNA". Lineage: Eukaryota; Metazoa; Arthropoda; Insecta; Hymenoptera; Vespidae. The record is from RNAcentral.
UGAAUUAAAAUAGUAAGUCGAUUUUGCCCAUGGACUAAAAAUUUAAAAGGCUGGGGUGUGUUAUAAAAACAAUGGUAGCGAAACAAAUACUUAUUAUUCCGAUUAAACUAGGGAUAGAUACCCUAUUAUAAUAAUUUAAAUUUAAUUAAAUUGUAAUAAAGAUAUUAAAUGAUAAAUCAUUAAAUUUAAAAGAUUUGGCGGUAUUUUAUAUAAUUAGAGGAACCUNGUGUAUUAAUUNGAUAAUCCACAAUAAGAAUAACUUAAUUUAAAAUUUAUGUAUUGCUGUUUAAAGAUUAUUAUUAAUUAAUUUUUUGUAUAUUUAAAUUUAAAUUAAUUCAAGUCAAAAUAUAGUAUAAUUAAGAUAAAUAUGGGUUACUAUUUUUUUAAAACUGGAUAAUUAAAUUUAAUUUUUAUUUUGAAAGAGGAUUUAAUAGUAAAUUUAAUUAAUUAAUUAAUUUGAAAAAUAAAUAAAAUAAGUACAAAUUGCCCGUCACUUUCAAUAAAAUGAAAU